GNNNNNNNUGGGGCUACAAUGCAAGUCGAGGGGCAUCACAUGAGGUAGCAAUACUGAUGGUGGCGACCGGCGCACGGGUGAGUAACACGUAUGCAACCUACCUUCCACACGGGGAUAACCCGGAGAAAUCCGGACUAAUACCCGAUAAUACAGGGGUCCCGCAUGGGAAUAUUUGUUAAAGAUUUAUUGGUAGAAGAUGGGCAUGCGUUCCAUUAGUUAGUUGGUGAGGUAACGGCUCACCAAGGCGACGAUGGAUAGGGGAACUGAGAGGUUUAUCCCCCACACUGGAACUGAGACACGGUCCAGACUCCUACGGGAGGCAGCAGUGAGGAAUAUUGGUCAAUGGAGGCAACUCUGAACCAGCCAAGUCGCGUGAAGGAUGAAGGUCUUAUGGAUUGUAAACUUCUUUUAUACAGGAAUAAAUUGAGUCACGUGUGGCUUUUUGCAUGUACUGUAUGAAUAAGGAUCGGCUAACUCCGUGCCAGCAGCCGCGGUAAUACGGAGGAUCCGAGCGUUAUCCGGAUUUAUUGGGUUUAAAGGGUGCGCAGGCGGGAUGUUAAGUCGGCGGUGAAAUUUUGCGGCUCAACCGUAAAAGUGCCUUCGAAACUGGUUUCCUUGAGUGUAGAUGAAGUAGGCGGAAUUUGUGGUGUAGCGGUGAAAUGCAUAGAUAUCACGAGGAACUCCGAUUGCGCAGGCAGCUUACUAAACUACUACUGACGCUCAGGCACGAAGGCGUGGGGAUCAAACAGGAUUAGAUACCCUGGUAGUCCACGCAGUAAACGAUGAUUACUAGCUGUUUGCGAUACAAUGUAAGCGGCUGAGCGAAAGCGUUAAGUAAUCCACCUGGGGAGUACGUUCGCAAGAAUGAAACUCAAAGGAAUUGACGGGGGCCCGCACAAGCGGAGGAACAUGUGGUUUAAUUCGAUGAUACGCGAGGAACCUUACCCGGGCUUGAAAUGCAUCUGACCGGCCUUGAAAGAGGCUUUCCCCUUCGGGGCAGAUGUGUAGGUGCUGCAUGGUUGUUCGUCAGCUCGUGCCGUGGAGGUGUCGGCUUAAGGUGCCAUAACCGAGCGCAACCCCUCAUCAUUAGGUUACCCAUCAGGUCAGGCUGGGGGACUCUCUAAUGAAGAACUUGCCAUCGNAAGAUGUGAAGGAANGNUGGGNAUGACGUCAAAUCANNNNNGNCCCUUACNNUCNNGGGNCGAACNCNNNGUGUUUNNA
Molecule: ribosomal RNA, 1221 nt
Filed under: uncultured bacterium
Lineage: Bacteria
Description: partial 16S ribosomal RNA
Rfam family: Bacterial small subunit ribosomal RNA
Source: RNAcentral